CAGAAACGAACGGUCGGCGACGUGUGGCUCUGUCUACUUUUGAGAUUCCCUCGGGGGCAGUAACUCGGUGUCCCCUAUCCGCAGCCAGCUUGGGAGGAGGAGACAAAUCCGGUUAUCCGCGUUGGGGCACUCGCUGAGGGGAGAGAAUGAAAACGAUGGCAGUAUAUAGCAGAAUUUCCUCGGGAGCACGGAGCUUUCUACAACACUCACAAGAACAAAGGAGAUGGAAAAUUAAACCUGAGUGCCCAGACAACAAGUUUCCUUCCUUUCAAAAUAACUUCAGGAGACUGAAGCAGAGCCACAUGCUGCUGGAAUGGAAUCGAGUGGAAAUAGAGUCCUGCUCUUGGGCAUGGGACAGAUGGCCUUCUGCUCCGGUAGAGGGUGUGGUUUAUACCCGGGUUAUAAGAGCCCUUGGGCUAAACCCAAAAAGCAAGGCUUGGGCUGGAUAUCCUUGUUACUAACGGAAUGUGCCUAGCCUGCAUGGCCUCUUGUUUUAACACUCCAAUCUCCACCUGCUGAAACUAGUUUUUGAAUCUUUAAAAAGUGAGGUCUAGCACCAGACUAAGGGCUGGCCUUUGGAGGCUAAACCAGGUACCUACUUCCUGCCGUGUUUCUCUGCGGGAGGAUCCAUUUUUAUGAAAACAGCUUCCACUACAAAAUCCUGUACCUGCCUGAAACCCUGAGCCAAGAUAAAAUCUCUCCUAAAAAAAGAAAAAGUUUCUUUCUGGGGUAUUAGUAGAGUGAAAACAUAACCUUUUUUGGUGGGAAGAGGAAACCCAAGCAUGGCAGACACUAAGAAGUUAAAAAGAAGAUGGAAGCCUACAGUGUCCACUUGGGAUGACCCACUCUACCUGAUCCCACUGUACCAAUGAAGAAACAAAUACAGAGAAGUAGCUUCCUCAUAGCAACCCAAUUGAUCGGGAACAUUUAUUAAUUUUAUUGGGGUUGGUUGUUGAAAUGACAAUGGCUUAGAUAUGUUGGGUUAAAUAAAAAUGUUACUGAAUGAUA
Long non-coding RNA from Rattus norvegicus (Norway rat), 1008 nucleotides. RefSeq lists it as uncharacterized. The record is from RefSeq and is a predicted model, not a curated record. NCBI's taxonomy places the organism in Eukaryota, Metazoa, Chordata, Mammalia, Rodentia, Muridae.